This 424-nucleotide ribosomal RNA is filed under the name uncultured bacterium. RNAcentral describes it as "bacterial SSU rRNA". It matches the Rfam family "Bacterial small subunit ribosomal RNA", at positions 40 to 461 of the family's 1533-position model. The record is from RNAcentral.
CGGCAUGCUUUACACAUGCAAGUCGAACGGCAGCGGGGGGCUUCGGCCUGCCGGCGAGUGGGCGAACGGGGUGAGUAAUGCAUCGGAACGUGCCCAUGUCGUGGGGGAUAACGUAGCGAAAGCUACGCUAAUACCGCAUACGUCCUGAGGGGAGAAAGCGGGGGAUCUUUGGACCUCGCGCGAUUGGAGCGGCCGAUGUCGGAUUAGCUAGUAGGUGAGGUAAAGGCUCACCUAGGCGACGAUCCGUAGCGGGUCUGAGAGGAUGAUCCGCCACACUGGGACUGAGACACGGCCCAGACUCCUACGGGAGGCAGCAGUGGGGAAUUUUGGACAAUGGGGGCAACCCUGAUCCAGCCAUGCCGCGUGAGUGAAGAAGGCCUUCGGGUUGUAAAGCUCUUUCGGCCGGGAAGAAAUCGUGGUCUCU